This 443-nucleotide ribosomal RNA is filed under the name uncultured bacterium. Its description in RNAcentral is "partial 16S ribosomal RNA". It matches the Rfam family "Bacterial small subunit ribosomal RNA", at positions 338 to 795 of the family's 1533-position model. The record is from RNAcentral.
CCUACGGGAGGCAGCAGUGGGGAAUAUUGGGCAAUGGGCGCAAGCCUGACCCAGCAACGCCGCGUGAAGGAAGAAGGCUUUCGGGUUGUAAACUUCUUUUCGCAGGGACGAAGAAAGUGACGGUACCUGAGGAAUAAGCCACGGCUAACUACGUGCCAGCAGCCGCUGUAAUACGUAGGUGGCAAGCGUUAUCCGGAUUUACUGGGUGUAAAGGGCGUGUAGGCGGGAAAGCAAGUCAGAUGUGAAAUCCAUGGGCUCAACCUGUGGCCUGCAUUUGAAACUGGUUUUCUUGAGUGCUGGAGAGGCAGACGGAAUUCCUAGUGUAGCGGUGAAAUGCGUAGAUAUGAGGAGGAACACCAGUGGCGAAGGCGGUCUACUGGACAGCAACUGACGCUGAGGCGCGAAAGCGUGGGGAGCAAACAGGAUUAGAUACCCCGGUAGUC